RNAcentral lists this ribosomal RNA (253 nucleotides) under uncultured bacterium. RNAcentral describes it as "partial 16S ribosomal RNA". It matches the Rfam family "Bacterial small subunit ribosomal RNA", at positions 524 to 776 of the family's 1533-position model. The record is from RNAcentral.
GACGGAGGGUGCAAGCGUUGUUCGGAUUGACUGGGCGUAAAGGGCGUGUAGGCGGUCGGGCAAGUCUGGUGUGAAAGCCCGGGGCUCAGCUCCGGAAGUGCAUCGGAAACUAGCUGGCUGGAGCGCGAUAGAGGAGGGCGGAAUUCCUGGUGUAGCGGUGAAAUGCGUAGAUAUCAGGAGGAACACCGGCGGCGAAGGCGGCCCUCUGGAUCGUUGCUGACGCUGAGACGCGAAAGCGUGGGGAGCAAACAGG